GACAAAAAGUAAUCUGUCUCAGUUAUAAUAGUUGAACUUAACUUUUAAGUGAAAAGGCUUAAAUACUUUAAGGGGACGAUAAGACCCUAUAAAACUUAACAAUAAUUUGAUUAAAUUAUAAAUUGUUAGUAUAACUUGAUUUUAAUUAAUGUUUGUUGCGUUGGGGCGACGGGAAUAUAAUUAGUAACUGUUCUUAAAUAUUUUAUUAACAAGUAUAAUUGAAGAAUAUUUGAUCCUUUAUUAAAGAUUAAAAGAUUAAGUUACUUUAGGGA
This 272-nucleotide ribosomal RNA is filed under the name Penaeus monodon (black tiger shrimp). Its description in RNAcentral is "partial 16S ribosomal RNA". The record is from RNAcentral. Lineage: Eukaryota; Metazoa; Arthropoda; Malacostraca; Decapoda; Penaeidae.